RNAcentral lists this ribosomal RNA (279 nucleotides) under uncultured bacterium. Its description in RNAcentral is "partial 16S ribosomal RNA". It matches the Rfam family "Bacterial small subunit ribosomal RNA", at positions 506 to 784 of the family's 1533-position model. The record is from RNAcentral.
UGCCAGCAGCCGCGGUAAUACGGAGGGUGCAAGCGUUAUCCGGAUUCACUGGGUUUAAAGGGUGCGUAGGCGGGUAUGUAAGUCAGUGGUGAAAUCUCGGAGCUUAACUCCGAAACUGCCAUUGAUACUAUAUAUCUUGAAUAUUGUGGAGGUUUGCGGAAUAUGUCAUGUAGCGGUGAAAUGCUUAGAUAUGACAUAGAACACCUAUUGCGAAGGCAGCAGGCUACACAUAUAUUGACGCUGAGGCACGAAAGCGUGGGGAUCAAACAGGAUUAGAUA